UACGUAGGGGGCGAGCGUUGUCCGGAUUUACUGGGCGUAAAACGCUUGUAGGUGGCCACGCCAAGUCGGAUGUGAAAUCUCCCGGCUUAACUGGGAGCGGUCAUUCGAUACUGGCGGGCUCGAGGCAGGUAGGGGGAAGCGGAAUUCCCGGUGUAGUGGUGGAAUGCGUAGAUAUCGGAAGGAACAUCAGUGGCGAAAGCGGCUUCCUGGUCCAGCACCGACGUUCAGGCACGAAAGCGUGGGGAGCAAACAGG
RNAcentral lists this ribosomal RNA (254 nucleotides) under uncultured bacterium. RNAcentral's name for it is "partial 16S ribosomal RNA". It matches the Rfam family "Bacterial small subunit ribosomal RNA", at positions 524 to 776 of the family's 1533-position model. The record is from RNAcentral.